UUUUAACGCCAAAAGUAGAAAAUAAAUACGUGAUCCCUUACCGAACUCAAAAGUAUUUCUAUCUUAACUAAAACUACUAUUUUUACGGGAUUUUUAGGAUUGUUAAAA
Molecule: ribosomal RNA, 108 nt
Filed under: Gracilariopsis heteroclada
Lineage: Eukaryota; Rhodophyta; Florideophyceae; Gracilariales; Gracilariaceae
Source: RNAcentral